GGCUCAGGACGAACGCUGCGGCGUGCUUAACACAUGCAAGUCGAACGAUGAUGCCCAGCUUGCUGGGUGGAUUAGUGCGAACGGGUGAGUAACACGUGAGUAACCUGCCCUGACUCUGGGAUAAGCGUUGGAAACGACGUCUAAUACUGGAUAUGACUACCGGCCGCAUGGUCUGGUGGUGGAAAGAUUUUUUGGUUGGGGAUGGACUCGCGGCCUAUCAGCUUGUUGGUGAGGUAAUGGCUCACCAAGGCGACGACGGGUAGCCGGCCUGAGAGGGUGACCGGCCACACUGGGACUGAGACACGGCCCAGACUCCUACGGGAGGCAGCAGUGGGGAAUAUUGCACAAUGGGCGAAAGCCUGAUGCAGCAACGCCGCGUGAGGGAUGACGGCCUUCGGGUUGUAAACCUCUUUUAGUAGGGAAGAAGCGAAAGUGACGGUACCUGCAGAAAAAGCACCGGCUAACUACGUGCCAGCAGCCGCGGUAAUACGUAGGGUGCAAGCGUUGUCCGGAAUUAUUGGGCGUAAAGAGCUCGUAGGCGGUUUGUCGCGUCUGCUGUGAAAUCCCGAGGCUCAACCUCGGGCUUGCAGUGGGUACGGGCAGACUAGAGUGCGGUAGGGGAGAUUGGAAUUCCUGGUGUAGCGGUGGAAUGCGCAGAUAUCAGGAGGAACACCGAUGGCGAAGGCAGAUCUCUGGGCCGUAACUGACGCUGAGGAGCGAA
Molecule: ribosomal RNA, 721 nt
Filed under: Curtobacterium flaccumfaciens
Lineage: Bacteria; Bacillati; Actinomycetota; Actinomycetes; Micrococcales; Microbacteriaceae
Description: bacterial SSU rRNA
Rfam family: Bacterial small subunit ribosomal RNA
Source: RNAcentral